UUUUUGUAAAAUUUUGUAAUAAAUUUACAUUUAUAAAGUUUUUCUCCGUAUUAUACGGUGACAGAAAAUUUUUUAGAUUUAAUAGAUAUCAUCAUCGUGGUCACUCAACGUUUGGGGAAAAAAAAAUAUCUUGCUUCAAGAUGUUUGUUGCUAUAUACAGCACGAUUUAAUUAAUAAUAGCUGUUGUAUUUAGAUCACAGGUUUUGUAGGGAUUUUUAAUUGAGAAUAUGGUGCUAAGGAACUAAAAAGUAUACAACGGAUAGGAUCAUCUUUGUCGUUCGACAUAAUGUUGAGUUUACUUAGUCUGCGUUCCAAAAUCCGUCUCAACUAGGACUUCAAUAGAUGUAUUUGCAAAAAGCGUUCUGGAUGGCUUCAGCCGUUGUAUAUGGAUUUAGGCCCUUGAAUGAAGUUUGGGAUUAGAUUCAUUUUACGACUAUAUCACCUGAUACAUUAUUAGAAAGAGUAGUGAACAGAUGUACCACUUGCAUUCAACCCCUUGUUUCAUCAAAUAAGACGUUAAGUACUGUACCAGACGAAGCAAUAAUGAAAAUAGUACAUAGACAUAGACUGUAAUUUGUUUACAACACCA
Non-coding RNA from Schizosaccharomyces pombe (fission yeast), 589 nucleotides. NCBI's taxonomy places the organism in Eukaryota, Fungi, Ascomycota, Schizosaccharomycetes, Schizosaccharomycetales, Schizosaccharomycetaceae. The record is from the annotation of a GenBank genome assembly.